UAGUUAGAACCUGUGAAAAGGCAAUGCGUUGUCGCGAAGGCACAGCCCGGUGGUUUCGGCUUAUUAACCCAACCGCUUUCAUACUUCUAGAAUCUACUGAUAGAUAGAGAGGGGUAAAAAAACUAGACUUCCAACUUGGGUCAGCUGCUGCUACUACUACUUUCCUGAGAAACCAAGAGAAAGUAGAGAGAGAAAAAGAGAAUGGACAAGGUUGGAAAGCUCCGGUGCCAAAGAAUCGGCUGCGACGCCGUGUUCACUGAAGACGAUAACCCUGAAGGUUCCUGUAGAUAUCACGGCUCGGGACCUAUAUUUCAUGAUGGAAUGAAAGAGUGGAGUUGUUGCAAGCAAAGAAGUCAUGAUUUCAGCUUGUUUAUAGAAAUUCCAGGGAUCAAAUAUUGAUGCUGAGUGAUGGAGCCAGAUUUUUUCCUAGCGGGCUCAGUCAACAACCAGUUUUGAUUUGUACUAUACUGAUAUUGACUUCAUGAUAAUAUAAUAUUGAUUUAGUAUUGGGAAGCAAUUAGGAAAAAUAAAAUCAUGAAACCAAUGCUUUGUAAAGUGAAUAAAAUGUUGUUAUUUUCCCUCCAAAUUAUAGAAAGUCUGAAAAAUUGAAUUCAGUUGAAUAAAUUAGAAUUUCAGUUUUUUGCCUGCUUCUAUGUUUUUGUAUUUUAGUUCAUAUUUUAUUUCUUCAUUCUCUCCUACAUGACUUUCUAGAUCCUUUCCAAGUCAUGUGCACAAAACAAGUUCAUAAUUUUUGAUGGAAGAUAAACACCAUAGUCAAAUGAAUUUUAUUUAAGAUGAUCACGGUAGGUAUAACUUUACUUGAUGACCACCACUUUCAUGACUUAUGAUAAGUUUUCGUGAAUGUUGAUUUUUAUUGUGAUUAUCUAGCAUUUGCAUCAUUUAACCUUUUGAUUGGCAUUUAUUGGAGUAUACUUUCUUUUCCUCGGACUUGUUAUCUAUGAUUUAAGGAAAUUACACAUUUUUAUUUAUUCUUGUAACUGUGAUGUCUCUCCAUGCUAUACUUCAAACUGUUGUUCAUGUGCCAUCUGCAACUUGUUGGAGUGGUUCAGUUUUCAUGGG
Non-coding RNA from Camellia sinensis, 1080 nucleotides. The record is from RefSeq and is a predicted model, not a curated record. Lineage: Eukaryota; Viridiplantae; Streptophyta; Magnoliopsida; Ericales; Theaceae.